UGCACAACACCUCAUCCACUCAGUGGUAGGUACUGGUGCUGCACAUCACCUCAUCCACUCAGUGGUAGGUACUGGUGCUGCACAUCACCUCAUCCACUCAGUAGUAGGUAUUGGUGCUGCACAACACCUCAUCCACUCAGUGGUAGGUACUGGUGCUGCACAUCACCUCAUCCACUCAGUAGUAGGUACUGGUGCUGCACAUCACCUCAUCCACUCAGUGGUAGGUAUUGGUGCUGCACAACACCUCAUCCACUCAGUGGUAGGUACUGGUGCUGCACAUCACCUCAUCCACUCAGUGGUAGGUAUUGGUGCUGCACAACACCUCAUCCACUCAGUGGUAGGUACUGGUGCUGCACAUCACCUCAUCCACUCACUGGUACAGUAGGUUAAGCAUUGUUUCUUGCCUUUUUUAAAUAUCACAACAGUGCUUUUCUUUGAAUAAAGGUCUGGAUGGUCCAAUU
Molecule: long non-coding RNA, 461 nt
Organism: Oncorhynchus keta (chum salmon)
Lineage: Eukaryota; Metazoa; Chordata; Actinopteri; Salmoniformes; Salmonidae
Exons: 4
Source: RefSeq, a predicted model, not a curated record